RNAcentral lists this ribosomal RNA (467 nucleotides) under uncultured bacterium. RNAcentral's name for it is "partial 16S ribosomal RNA". It matches the Rfam family "Bacterial small subunit ribosomal RNA", at positions 28 to 507 of the family's 1533-position model. The record is from RNAcentral.
GACGAACGCUGGCGGCGUGCUAACACCUGCAAGUCGAACGGAAAGGCCCUGCUUUUGUGGGGUGCUCGAGUGGCGAACGGGUGAGUAACACGUGAGUAACCUGCCCUUGACUUUGGGAUAACUUCAGGAAACUGGGGCUAAUACCGGAUAGGAGCUCCUGCUGCAUGGUGGGGGUUGGAAAGUUUCGGCGGUUGGGGAUGGACUCGCGGCUUAUCAGCUUGUUGGUGGGGUAGUGGCUUACCAAGGCUUUGACGGGUAGCCGGCCUGAGAGGGUGACCGGCCGCAUUGGGACUGAGAUACGGCCCAGACUCCUACGGGAGGCAGCAGUGGGGAAUAUUGCACAAUGGGCGGAAGCCUGAUGCAGCAACGCCGCGUGCGGGAUGACGGCCUUCGGGUUGUAAACCGCUUUCGCCUGUGACGAAGCGUGAGUGACGGUAAUGGGUAAAGAAGCACCGGCUAACUACGUG